Molecule: unclassified non-coding RNA, 156 nt
Filed under: uncultured Clonostachys
Lineage: Eukaryota; Fungi; Ascomycota; Sordariomycetes; Hypocreales; Bionectriaceae
Description: sequence contains ITS1
Source: RNAcentral
CCGAGUUUACAACUCCCAAACCCAUGUGAACCUUACCUUUAGUUGCUUCGGCAGGAUCGCCCCAGGCGCCUCGGUGCCCUGGAAUCUGCGCCUGCCGAGGGACCCAAACUCUUGUUUUUUAUGGUAUUCUCUGAUUUAAAUUUAUUAAAUAAAUAA